AGUGAACGCUGGCGGUAGGCCUAACACAUGCAAGUCGAACGGCAGCACAGUAAGAGCUUGCUCUUACGGGUGGCGAGUGGCGGACGGGUGAGGAAUACAUCGGAAUCUACUUUUUCGUGGGGGAUAACGUAGGGAAACUUACGCUAAUACCGCAUACGACCUACGGGUGAAAGCAGGGGAUCUUCGGACCUUUCGCGAUUGAAUGAGCCGAUGUCGGAUUAGCUAGUUGGCGGGGUAAAGGCCCACCAAGGCGACGAUCCGUAGCUGGUCUGAGAGGAUGAUCAGCCACACUGGAACUGAGACACGGUCCAGCCUCCUACGGGAGGCAGCAGUGGGGAAUGUUGGGCAAUGGGCGCAAGCCUGAUCCAGCCAUACCGCGUGGGUGAAGAAGGCCUUCGGGUUGUAAAGCCCUUUUGUUGGGAAAGAAAAGCAGCAGGUUAAUACCCAGCUGUACUGACGGUACCCAAAGAAUAAGCACCGGCUAACUUCGUG
This 492-nucleotide ribosomal RNA is filed under the name uncultured bacterium. Its description in RNAcentral is "partial 16S ribosomal RNA". It matches the Rfam family "Bacterial small subunit ribosomal RNA", at positions 29 to 507 of the family's 1533-position model. The record is from RNAcentral.